Salvelinus fontinalis (brook trout) is the source of this 2819-nucleotide RNA transcript. It is a transcript of the gene named zona pellucida sperm-binding protein 3-like, with no coding region annotated. NCBI's taxonomy places the organism in Eukaryota, Metazoa, Chordata, Actinopteri, Salmoniformes, Salmonidae. The transcript is spliced from 11 exons. The record is from RefSeq and is a predicted model, not a curated record.
GUUUCAUCAAUUGUAGCAUAGCAGAGGCACAUUGUGCUCUAAUUUACAGGUUCACUUUAGUUGUUGGCAUGGGACUCAUAAUGGCAAACAAGCUCUGGCUAUUUCCAAAGCAACUAGUUUUGUUUUUACUGGUGGAAAACUUAAUCUCUCCUGCUUUUUCACUUACUUACAGCACUGGCACAUGGCAACAUCUUCCAAGCCGAAUGCCACAAUUUGGCGAUCAUCUGCCUUUUAAACAGCUUCAACUUCACCAACAAACAGUUUCUAGACCAGUUCGAGUGGAAACGGUCGAUGUGAAGUGCCAUUCAGACUACAUGGAGAUAGUAGUUAAGGCUGAUCUGUUUAAACUCGGUAUUCUUAUUGACAUGGAUGACCUGCGACUUGGAGUUGAACAAGACAAAGAGACCUGCAGGGCUUCAGCAGCCGGAGAUGAGUACAGAAUAUUGGCAGCGCUAUCAGACUGUGGAACCAAGCGUUUGAUGAACAAAGACUCCAUGAUCUAUACAAACCACCUCAGAUAUACACCCAGAGCCACACCAGAUGGGGUUAUUCGAAUGGAUGGUGCUGUAAUCCCAAUUGCUUGUCAUUAUGAAAGGAAGUACAGUUCAGAGAGUGGCCCCCUCCAGCCGACCUGGAUCCCCUUCAGCGCCACAGUGUCUGCUGAAGACACCCUGCAGUUCUCCUUGAAGUUUAUGACAAGUGACUGGCUCUAUGAGCGGGGUUCUGGAGUCUACUUCCUGGGUGAUCCCAUCAACAUUGAGGUGUCUGUCAGUGUUACUCACCACUCCAGGCUCAGGGUCUUUGUUAGCAGCUGCGUGGCCACACUGGACCCUGAUAGCAACUCUGUCCCCAGAUACGUCUUCAUUGAGCAUGAUGGGUGCUUGGUGGAUUCCCAGCUGCCUGGCUCCAACUUUGGGUUCAUGCAUAGAACCCAGGAUGACAAGCUCCAGUUCCACAUUGAUGCCUUUAGGUUCUAUCAGGAGGACAGGGCAGAGCUGUACAUCACAUGCCACCUUAUGGCAGUCCCUGUCAUGGACCAUGCAGAGUCUAGCAACAAGGCAUGCUCCUUCAUUGAUGGCAGAUGGAGGUCUGCCGACUCGAAUGAUUUGCAAUGUGGCCGUUGUCCUAGCCAGAAGGGGGUUGAUCACGAUCCAGCACGACAUCCCCUCAGUCCAAGACAAGGCGGUAGCCAACCUGAACCUCGUGGCUACCGCAUCAAACCUCAAGCCACUGGCGACCAUUGGAGUGGGAUGAAGUCCAAGAAAGUAUGGAACCAAGAUGCUACUUUGGGCCCCAUAAUGGUUACAACCAAACGGAGUAGAUCUUUAUCUCCAACGACGGAAGGUAUCGAUAUAUAUGGCUUCCCUUCUCCAACUAAGGACAGGAGGCCUGUAUCACCUGGCAGUCUUUGGAAGAGGGGAAUGGACUUCAAGAGGGAUCUGGAGCCCAACCCAGACUACGAGUUGAAUCCUACACCUGAGCCCAUUGGAGGCCUUGGAUAUGACAAGGAUCUCUAUACAAUUGGAACUCAUUGAAAGGAAUACUGUGGGGGCCCCAUUUUUCACUCCAAGCAGCACACUCACUCCUGAUGACCCUACAACCAAGUGACCUCGGCACCACAACUGCUCCUGAUCCUCAAGCUCUCGGGUUGGAUGGGGAGUGUCACUGCACAGCUACCUUCACGAUCUCCAGAGAUGUUUGCUUGUGCUCUGGCUUGACCACUCGUUGACAGACUUGUCACUCCUGCGUUGGCUGUGAAGAUCAUUGUCCUGUUGGAAGGCAAAUCUUUGCCCCAGUCUGAGCAGGUUUUAGUCAAGGAUCUCUACUUUGCUCUGUUCAUCUUUGCCUUGAUCCUGACUAGUUUCCUGUUGCUGAAAAACAUCCCAACAGCAUGAUGCUACCAACAUACUUCACUGUAGGGAUGGUGCCAGAAUUCCUCCAGAGGUGACGCUUAGCAUUCAGGCCAGCAAGUUCAAUCUUGGUUUCAUCAGACCAGGGAAUCUUGUUACUCAUGGUCAGAGUCCUUUAGGUGCCUCUUAGCGGGCUGUCGUGGCUUCUGUCUGGCCACUACCAUAAAGACCUGAUUGGAGUUCUGCAGAGAUGGGAGAAACUUCCCAAAGAACAACCAUCUCCACAGAGGAGCUCUGCCAGAGUGACCAUUGGGUUGGUCAUCUCCCUGACCAAGGCCCUUCUCCCCCAAUUGCUCAGUUUUGCUGGGCGGCCAGCUCUAGGAAGUCUUGGUGGUUUCAAAAUUCUUCCAUUUAAGAAUGAUAGAGGCCACUGUUCUUGGGGACCGUUACAGCCUGUAAAUAAGGCUGUAACGUAAAAAAAUGAGGCGGAAGGGGUCUGAAUACUUACCAAAUGUACAUAUACAUGUAAAUUAUUUUGAUGAAGCUGACAAUGGUAGGCCAGAUCUUCAAAUGUAUCAUGAUUUGUUAAAUAUUUCAGCAAUGUAGAAGGGCAACACUAUCAGGGGGCAUGUUCAGUAGUAGGUUCAGCUAUUUCCUUACCACUCUUAUCCUACCGCAUAUGCACACACUGUAUAUAGAUAAACCUUUUCUUUUGUAUUGACUGCAUGAUUGUUUAUUCCAUGUGUAACUGUGUCGCUUUAUCUUGGCCAGGUCGCAGUUGAAAAUGAACUUGUUCUCAAUUAGCCUACCUGGUUAAAUAAAGGUGAAAUAAAAACCAACAAUGUUGCACAUGGUAUGGAACACCUCUGCAGCAACAGUGGAAAUGCUGACAUUUCCUAGAUUUAUCUUUGGUCUUUAUUGGUUUCCUGUUUGCAUAGACGGGCCCAUCACUAGUCCUGGAUUAAUGUG